Long non-coding RNA from Gossypium raimondii (Peruvian cotton), 695 nucleotides. RefSeq lists it as uncharacterized. The record is from RefSeq and is a predicted model, not a curated record. The transcript has 2 exons. Lineage: Eukaryota; Viridiplantae; Streptophyta; Magnoliopsida; Malvales; Malvaceae.
ACUCAUUGAGUACUGUCAGGCCCUCAAUUCAGACCAACUGUACUUGGAACGAGUGGCUUAAAGGCAACAUCCAGAGCUUUCCAAAAAAAUCACAAAAUCUCUAUGUACUUAGUUUUCUAUUUUUUUUUUCUUUGGGAAAUCUGGUUUUUGAGGAACUCUCUUAUCUUGAGUCUCAUAACUGUCAUGUUAGCCUGGAGAAAAGGAUCAUCAACAAAGUCGGGGAAUUUUUUGCCCUUACUGGUCGUCUCCGUCGCUACCCUAUCCCAGAUCUACAUCCUGUUUCUUAUCACCUGCUCCAGGCGUUAUAAAAAUCAAUAUAGACGGUUCUUCUAGUGAAAAUUCAAGUUAAGAACGAGUCUGUCCAGUCUUGAGAAAUCAUAGGGGCAAAUGGAUUCGAGGCCCCUUCAAACACAUUCUGAUGGUUGUUUAUGUGUAGAUUUGUCUCAACCUCUAUCAAGCAUACCUAUAGGGAGGGGAACCAAUGUAUGGAUUGGUUAGUUCGGUUAGGGAGCAACUUUCAACAAGACAAUCUUAGAACUUCUUGUAAUAGGAAUAUUUUGUGUUUUUGUUUGAAACCCCAUCUUGUAUUGAGGCUCUGUUGAAACCUGAUGCGUACAUCACUGUUAUGUACGGAAUUUAUUUUAAUUAAUCUAAAAGUUGUCUUUUGAUAAUAAAAAAAGAAAUAUUCGUGGGAA